GACGAACGCUGGCGGCGCGCCUAACACAUGCAAGUCGAACGAGUGAGAGAGAGCUUGCUUUCUCGAGCGAGUGGCGAACGGGUGAGUAACGCGUGAGGAACCUGCCUCAAAGAGGGGGACAACAGUUGGAAACGACUGCUAAUACCGCAUAAGCCCACGACCCGGCAUCGGGUAGAGGGAAAAGGAGCAAUCCGCUUUGAGAUGGCCUCGCGUCCGAUUAGCUAGUUGGUGAGGUAACGGCCCACCAAGGCGACGAUCGGUAGCCGGACUGAGAGGUUGAACGGCCACAUUGGGACUGAGACACGGCCCAGACUCCUACGGGAGGCAGCAGUGGGGAAUAUUGCACAAUGGGGGAAACCCUGAUGCAGCGACGCCGCGUGGAGGAAGAAGGUCUUCGGAUUGUAAACCCCUGUUGUUGAGGAAGAUAAUGACGGUACUCAACAAGGAAGUGACGGCA
RNAcentral lists this ribosomal RNA (457 nucleotides) under uncultured bacterium. RNAcentral describes it as "bacterial SSU rRNA". It matches the Rfam family "Bacterial small subunit ribosomal RNA", at positions 28 to 498 of the family's 1533-position model. The record is from RNAcentral.